Molecule: ribosomal RNA, 473 nt
Filed under: Klebsiella pneumoniae
Lineage: Bacteria; Pseudomonadati; Pseudomonadota; Gammaproteobacteria; Enterobacterales; Enterobacteriaceae
Description: partial 23S ribosomal RNA
Rfam family: Bacterial large subunit ribosomal RNA
Source: RNAcentral
GGUCGGACAUCAGGAGGUUAGUGCAAUGGCAUAAGCUAGCUUGACUGCGAGCGUGACGGCGCGAGCAGGUGCGAAAGCAGGUCAUAGUGAUCCGGUGGUUCUGAAUGGAAGGGCCAUCGCUCAACGGAUAAAAGGUACUCCGGGGAUAACAGGCUGAUACCGCCCAAGAGUUCAUAUCGACGGCGGUGUUUGGCACCUCGAUGUCGGCUCAUCACAUCCUGGGGCUGAAGUAGGUCCCAAGGGUAUGGCUGUUCGCCAUUUAAAGUGGUACGCGAGCUGGGUUUAGAACGUCGUGAGACAGUUCGGUCCCUAUCUGCCGUGGGCGCUGGAGAAUUGAGGGGGGCUGCUCCUAGUACGAGAGGACCGGAGUGGACGCAUCACUGGUGUUCGGGUUGUCAUGCCAAUGGCACUGCCCGGUAGCUAAAUGCGGAAGAGAUAAGUGCUGAAAGCAUCUAAGCACGAAACUUGCCCCG